GACGAACGCUGGCGGCGUGCUUAACACAUGCAAGUCGAACGCUGAAGCUCAGCUUUUGUUGGGUGGAUGAGUGGCGAACGGGUGAGUAACACGUGAGUAACCUGCCCCCUUCUUUGGGAUAACGCCCGGAAACGGGUGCUAAUACUGGAUAUUCACUGGUCUUCGCAUGGGGGUUGGUGGAAAGGGUUUUUCUGGUGGGGGAUGGGCUCGCGGCCUAUCAGCUUGUUGGUGGGGUGAUGGCCUACCAAGGCUUUGACGGGUAGCCGGCCUGAGAGGGUGACCGGUCACAUUGGGACUGAGAUACGGCCCAGACUCCUACGGGAGGCAGCAGUGGGGAAUAUUGCACAAUGGGCGCAAGCCUGAUGCAGCGACGCCGCGUGAGGGAUGGAGGCCUUCGGGUUGUGAACCUCUUUCGCUCAUGGUCAAGCCGCAACAAUGGUUGUGGUGAGGGUAGUGGGUAAAGAAGCGCCGGUUAACUACGUGCCAGCAGCCGCGGUAAUACGUAGGGCGCGAGCGUUGUCCGGAAUUAUUGGGCGUAAAGGGCUUGUAGGCGGUUGGUCGCGUCUGCCGUGAAAUCCUCUGGCUUAACUGGGGGCGUGCGGGUGGGUACGGGCUGACUUGAGUGCGGUAGGGGAGACUGGAACUCCUGGUGUAGCGGUGGAAUGCGCGGAUAUCACGAAGAACACCGGUGGCGAAGGCGGGUCUCUGGGCCGUUACUGACGCUGAGGAGCGAAAGCGUGGGGAGCGAACAGG
This 753-nucleotide ribosomal RNA is filed under the name uncultured Actinomyces sp. RNAcentral's name for it is "bacterial SSU rRNA". It matches the Rfam family "Bacterial small subunit ribosomal RNA", at positions 28 to 776 of the family's 1533-position model. The record is from RNAcentral. Lineage: Bacteria; Bacillati; Actinomycetota; Actinomycetes; Actinomycetales; Actinomycetaceae.